RNAcentral lists this ribosomal RNA (445 nucleotides) under uncultured bacterium. Its description in RNAcentral is "partial 16S ribosomal RNA". It matches the Rfam family "Bacterial small subunit ribosomal RNA", at positions 354 to 796 of the family's 1533-position model. The record is from RNAcentral.
GUAGGGAAUAUUGGGCAAUGGAUGCAAGUCUGACCCAGCCAUCCCGCGUGCCGGAAGAAGGCCCUCAGGGUUGUAAACGGCUUUUGACGGUGAAGAAUCGACAGGAUGCGUCCUGUUUUGACGGUAGCCGUUGAAUAAGCACCGGCUAACUCCGUGCCAGCAGCCGCGGUAAUACGGAGGGUGCGAGCGUUGUCCGGAUUUAUUGGGUUUAAAGGGUGCGUAGGCUGGAAGGUCAGUCAGCGGUGAAAAGCUGUCGCUUAACGAUAGUCUUGACGCAGAUACUUCCUUUCUUGGAUGAGGAGGAGGCCACUGGAACGGAUGGUGUAGCGGUGAAAUGCAUAGAUAUCAUCCAGAACACCGAUUGCGAAGGCAGGUGGCUGUACCUUAAUCGACGCUGAUGCACGAAAGCAUGGGGAGCAAACAGGAUUAGAAACCCGGGUAGUCC